GGGAAGGUGGCUAAGUGGUAGAGCACUUGCCUUGCAUGCAUGAGGCCCUGGGUUCAAUUCCUCAGCACCCCA
RNAcentral lists this transfer RNA (72 nucleotides) under Dipodomys ordii (Ord's kangaroo rat). It matches the Rfam family "tRNA". From Rfam's summary of the family: Transfer RNA (tRNA) molecules are approximately 80 nucleotides in length. The record is from Rfam by way of RNAcentral. Lineage: Eukaryota; Metazoa; Chordata; Mammalia; Rodentia; Heteromyidae.